UGGGGGAUAUUGCACAAUGGGCGAAAGCCUGAUGCAGCAACGCCGCGUGAGGGAAGACGGUCUUCGGAUUGUAAACCUUUAGCUUUGGGGAAGAAACAAAUGACGGUACCCAAAGGGGCAGCCACGGCUAACUACGUGCCAGCAGCCGCGGUAAUACGGAGGUGGCAAGCGUUGUCCGGAAUUACUGGGUGUAAAGGGAGCGCAGGCGGGGAGAAAAGUCAGCUGUGAAAACUAUGGGCUUAACCCAUAGAUUGCAGUUGAAACUGUUUGGCUUGAGUGGGGUAGAGGUAGGCGGAAUUCCGAGUGUAGCGGUGAAAUGCGUAGAUAUUCGGAGGAACACCAGUGGCGAAGGCGGCCUACUGGGCUCUAACUGACGCUGAGGCUCGAAAGUGUGGGGAGCAAACA
This 405-nucleotide ribosomal RNA is filed under the name uncultured prokaryote. RNAcentral describes it as "bacterial SSU rRNA". It matches the Rfam family "Bacterial small subunit ribosomal RNA", at positions 355 to 774 of the family's 1533-position model. The record is from RNAcentral.